Carassius auratus (goldfish) is the source of this 2945-nucleotide long non-coding RNA. RefSeq lists it as uncharacterized. The transcript has 3 exons. NCBI's taxonomy places the organism in Eukaryota, Metazoa, Chordata, Actinopteri, Cypriniformes, Cyprinidae. The record is from RefSeq and is a predicted model, not a curated record.
GGGGUGAGGGAAGGAGGGGGUUCACACACACACACACACACACACACACACACACACACACUUACACAGCCGCACUGCUCUUCUCUGCUCGCGCCGCGUCGCUGGAUUUCUUUCCUCACAUCACUCCGUCUCGCAUCUCGCCGUGUUUCAUUCUCGCGCCAAAGAACAAAAAGAGCGGGAAAAGGUGACGCUGGACCGCCGGAGACGCACAGAAAGAGAAGGAAACUCCACAUCAACACCAUCUCUCCAAGAUGAGCGAGCGUGGACACACAGGGGAGGCCAACAGCAGCCAAACGUCCGCCGCAGGCAACAAAGAAAAGCCAUCUGACUCUGCAGGAAAACCUGAGCAGGAGGAAGAGGUCGAUAUCGACCUGGAAGCCCCGGAGACAGAGAAAGCAGCCCUCGCCAUCCAGAACCAGUUCAGACGCUUUCAAAAGAAGAAGAAGUAGACAUACUUGAACAAUUAGGACAUCUGGCACAUGCUUUAGGAAGAAAAUGUGAGGAGGGGUAGAAAGCAAGCGAAAGAGAGAGAAACAUAACUUAAUCGAGCAUGAAACGUAUCUAGUCUCCCCUCUGCUGCUCCUAAAGCCACAUAUCUACCCCCCGAACACCCACCCCAGCCCGAAAAAAUGAAACCCCUCUUUAACUUCCCCGCCUUAUCUUUGUCCCACAUGAGAAGCCAUUCUGAGAAAACAAUCUUCUUCUUUCACACAUAGAGUAAGCACAGCACAUGACAGUCGCUUCACGUCCUCCUCACAUCUUCUCUGGUCUCUUCUUUCCAUCUCUCUCUGUGGUUUUGACUGUAGCAUGGGACUAAAUCUCAGGUUUGGUUCGGUGUCAGUCGAUGGAAACCGUGCGUCAGCCGGGACUUGACUCCUGGGGUUAUGUCAAAACGGUGACAACUUACAAACAUUAGCACAAUUGAGUAGUCCAGACAAGCGCCUACCACCUGUCCUAGUCUAAAUAACCUUUACCUAAAAGAUAUGCGAUUUCCUUAACAACCUGAAUUAUUGACGCACCUGUGGUCGGCACAAGGAAUCGAGAGACAACAAGAGCCAAGAGGACCUGGAAGAAAACAGGACGCACUGCUGCAAAAGUGUCCACACAGAAGGAUAAAUGCUGCAGCCAAUGGAAGAGAUGCCUCCUUGCAAUCGAUCCGGUUCUCCCUGUGACAUCUGAUCAGAGUAGUACGUAGAGUGAGUGCCUCUGGCCUCUGAAAUGAAAUCAUCGAUCAGUUAAGCCAGUCAUCGGACCGGAUCAGGAUACGCUAUCGUGUUGCAGCAGUGGUAACGUGAGUCGAGGCACAUACGCGGUAUUGACUGACUGCGCUUCCCAACACACAACCACAGAUUUAAAGUCACUGGAGAGAUCAGACAAGACGAACACAUGUAAGAUGUGAGGAGGAAACAAAAAUGCACAAGAUUGUUCACCACGAAUAGUAACUCCAAAUCCCCAGUGCACAACUUCCGGGCAUUCACACUUUUCCUCACAUUUAAAUCUGCAUGUGGCACACUGACCCGCUCUGAAAAGCCAGGCCUCUAUCUACGCCUCAGUCUCUUGUCUCAAACUAAUUAAUGCUCUAUUAAUUAUUAUUGGAAUGUAACCUCUUUUUCUAUUUAAAGGAGUAAAUCUCUUUGCUAAGACAAGCUUUGUAUGAAAGUAACCUUCAUAACCCAGUGGGCCAAUUUACAUAGUAAAAAUUCUGCUGCGCCAUUUUUGGUAAAAGGCAAAAAGAGUAACCCCCCCCACAACCCCUUUGGUUUUUCCUUUCAUUUCUACCUCUCAUUAACUCUUUGUACCCACAAGACCUCUUUCAUUUGUCCCUCUUUCAUUUUUUAUGGCCCAUUUUAAGCAUGGCCUCAUUCUGCUUCCCCUGAAGGCUUUUCAAUCUUCAAUCUCUCUUGUAUGGCAUGUCAACUACGCUGGGAUUUCAAAGCUGUUUUAGAGUUUGAUGGAAUAUGUGACGGAGCAGCUGUGGUCCAUACUGAUGUCAUAGAUACUAUAUUACAACUAGAACAUAAUAUUAUUCGACAUAGAGACAAAAUGAAUAGGGUACUGUAUAUUGAAAGCAUGCAUCUGUAUAUCUAAAACACAAAAUUUCCUGGUUCCAUUCAAUAGCCUUGAUUCUAUCCUGCACUUAAGUGAUUGACAUCAGUCUUGUUCCAAUUUUUCAGCCGUCUGCUUUCUCCUUCUCACCCUUCAUUGGAAGCUAAUCCGGUUAAGGGCUCAGAAAUGAGGCGUGAUAGAAUUUGGCUCACCGAGAACAGAACCUCGCCAUUCAUUGAGUGUGUAGUACUACAGCCACAUUUCACAUUUGUCUAAACUUUUCCAGCCAGCUGAGGCUUAGAGAAGGGAUUGUAGGGGAGACGUUUUCUUGAAAUCUGCUGGAAACUUUAGCAAUAACGGCGAUGCUAUGAGAGACUGCAGCAUCUCCAUGCGCCGGAGACACUGACAGACCUCCGCAUCCACUGCAGGGAAUCCAGGGAAGUCAAGAAUCAGCAUCAAGCCUUGCUUAUCUGCUAACCUCUUUAAACAAACCAGGUUGCAUCAUUCUCUGUCGUAUGGCUUGUAUUGUGCACUCACUGGGCUGAACAUCAGAUUGAACAAGAUAGACGUCAGUCACACUGUAAUCUGCCCUCAUUAGUCCUGUUUGAAUUCGACUGAGAAUCCAUCAUUUUGUUCCUUUAUAACUGGUUCACAGUGAGGUGCUGCAAGGGUGUAGAUUGCAAAUGUUGGGGUUUACAGUAUGUUACUGCUUUUUCUGUGAGUCCUAGAGAAGAAAUGUGGAAAUGCUUGUGACAAAUCAUCUUUUUGAGGUGCAGAACCCUGUAUUUUCUGUUUUAAACUACUGUACUCUAUGUGUGGAGGAGUGGGAGAUACAGCACUCUGUUCUUUUAACUCUGCACAAUUAAAACUUGCUGCAACUUGCUUAAGAAAAACCUCAA